GGUGGUGAUGUCCAGCAGCUCCCACUCCCCCAUGGUGGUCAUGACAUGCUUGGAGUGCUCUGUGAUGUCUUCGGCACCUUUUGCCAAAAAAAGUUGAAUAUCUGACGCUGAGGAGGAGGAAAAAACAGCAGUGGAUAUACUGGAGGUAGGAGUUAAAGGUCAGUGUGCAGUUCUGCACGUCAAAGGGGAAGUUAUAAAUAUCAAGGUUACAGGAGCUGACAACUUUGGCCGGCUGAGCGUCACGAACUGUGCCAUCGCUGUGUAUGUAAAUGUACGGAACAUAAGGUGCUGUGUUUUCAUCCAUGCUGUGGACAAAGACAGAACAGAACAAAAUGUUACCAACGGGGAGUUCAGUUUUAAGAACAGGCUGGAAAUUUUCACAGAAAAUAUUAUACUCACAACUCAUUGAUGACAAUAUCCGGCAUCCAAAAUUUAUCUCUGGGCAGAGCAAUUUUGUCGGUACCACACUGGUCUGGAUCCCAGCUGAUGAACUCAUUCACCCACCACUGCAACAACAGCGUUGUUAUGACUGCUAUGACAACUAUAACAGGGUGAGUCAAAAAGGUCAAAGCUAUUUCUCUACAAAUACUGAAUUUAAGUCUAAAUACUCUUGCAAGCAGAGUUUCCAUCGAUAAUGUUUUUGUGGAAUGUGGAGGAUGUGUCUGGUACACGAAACGCCAGAAAUAAACAAACCAGUUUUUCUGCCUUGUCCAGGAA
This is a long non-coding RNA of Cynoglossus semilaevis (tongue sole), 717 nucleotides long. RefSeq lists it as uncharacterized. Lineage: Eukaryota; Metazoa; Chordata; Actinopteri; Pleuronectiformes; Cynoglossidae. The record is from RefSeq and is a predicted model, not a curated record. The transcript has 2 exons.